RNAcentral lists this ribosomal RNA (360 nucleotides) under uncultured bacterium. RNAcentral describes it as "bacterial SSU rRNA". It matches the Rfam family "Bacterial small subunit ribosomal RNA", at positions 29 to 414 of the family's 1533-position model. The record is from RNAcentral.
AACGAACGCUGGCGGCAGGCCUAACACAUGCAAGUCGAACGCUCGUAGCAAUACGGGAGUGGCAGACGGGUGAGUAACACGUGGGAACCUUCCCUAUGGUUCGGAAUAGCUCAGGGAAACUUGGGGUAAUACCGGAUAAGCCCUUCGGGGGAAAGAUUUAUCGCCAUUGGAUGGGCCCGCGUCGGAUUAGCUAGUUGGUGAGGUAACGGCUCACCAAGGCAACGAUCCGUAGCUGGUCUGAGAGGAUGAUCAGCCACACUGGGACUGAGACACGGCCCAGACUCCUACGGGAGGCAGCAGUGGGGAAUAUUGGACAAUGGGCGCAAGCCUGAUCCAGCCAUGCCGCGUGAGUGACGAAGG